Sus scrofa (pig) is the source of this 796-nucleotide long non-coding RNA. RefSeq lists it as uncharacterized. The record is from RefSeq and is a predicted model, not a curated record. Lineage: Eukaryota; Metazoa; Chordata; Mammalia; Artiodactyla; Suidae.
UGUAGCAGAGUGCGGCCAUGGUGGGAUGUCCUAUUGUACGCUAGGGGUUCAGUUCCGGACCAGGGUGCAAAAUGGAAGGAGUUCUCGACAUAAAGCAUAAAAGCGAAGCUUGUAGUAAUUAAGCACAUUUUAUUUCAGCGCCUGUAUGAACUGACGAGAGAGAGAACACGAACCUCCCACUAAGUGUACAGUUGGUUUGACCCAAGAGCUGCGGAAACUGAGGACCAGAGUUGGGAAGGAUAUCACGCAGGGUCAUGGAACUCUCGGAAGCCCAGCAUCAAGCCUUUAGAAUCAGAUGGACCUGACUUUCAACUCUGGUUCACACCCUGCUAGCCAUGUAACCUCUGGCAAACUGCUCACCUAAUUCUCAGAGCCAUAGUUGGGUGGAAAUAAGAGCCUCUUCCAUGUGGUGGUUGUUGGUAACAUUUACAAACAAAUCUGGGCCCCGGGCCCCCAGGCUGUCAUUGACAGCAGCUUCUCUUGUUCUGGAAUCAGGAGGGAAAGAACAGUUGAUCUGGCAUUGGCUCUUCUCAGACUGAUCGGCGUCAGAAGGUCCUGGAAGGAUAGGUCACUGCGGACCCUGGCACGGCUCACGGUCCACGUCCCUACUUGGAGGACAUGCUGCAUUUCAGUCAGAGGUUAGUGAAUAUAGUUAUUUUGUUUCCAUCCAAGUUCAUAGAGCCCCUGAGUUCUGGACCCAAGUUCAGAACCCUUGCUAAAAAGUACGGCUGUCUCUCUUAUUUUAUUCCACUCGUCUCUUAUUGAAAAGUCACCCUGUCUCAGCAUUUUCUCCAAC